This 1496-nucleotide ribosomal RNA is filed under the name Leuconostoc mesenteroides. RNAcentral describes it as "bacterial SSU rRNA". It matches the Rfam family "Bacterial small subunit ribosomal RNA". The record is from RNAcentral. Lineage: Bacteria; Bacillati; Bacillota; Bacilli; Lactobacillales; Lactobacillaceae.
GGGCAGUGCCGGGUGACGGGUUUUAAAAAAAAAUUAGCCAAAGAAAAGGGGUUGCCCUUCAAAGAAGGGGGAACGGGGAGAAAACGGGGCAACCUGCCUCAAGGCUGGGGAUAACAUUUGGAAACAGAUGCUAAUACCGAAUAAAACUUAGUGUCGCAUGCCAAAAGUUAAAAGGCGCUUCGGCGUCACCUAGAGAUGGAUCCGCGGUGCAUUAGUUAGUUGGGGGGUAAAGGCCUACCAAGCCAAUAAGGCAAGCCGAGUUAAAGACUGAUCGGCCACAUUGGAAUGAAACACGGCCCAAAUUCCUACGGGAGGCUGCAGUAGGGAUUUUCCCCAAUGGGCGAAAGCCUGAUGGAGCAACGCCGCGUGUGUGAUGAAGGCUUUCGGGUCGUAAAGCACUGUUGUAUGGAAGAACAGCUAGAAUAGGAAAUGAUUUUAGUUUGACGGUACCAUACCAGAAAGGGACGGCUAAAUACGUGCCAGCAGCCGCGGUAAUACGUAUGUCCCGAGCGUUAUCCGGAUUUAUUGGGCGUAAAGCGAGCGCAGACGGUUUAUUAAGUCUGAUGUGAAAGCCCGGAGCUCAACUCCGGAAUGGCAUUGGAAACUGGUUAACUUGAGUGCAGUAGAGGUAAGUGGAACUCCAUGUGUAGCGGUGGAAUGCGUAGAUAUAUGGAAGAACACCAGUGGCGAAGGCGGCUUACUGGACUGCAACUGACGUUGAGGCUCGAAAGUGUGGGUAGCAAACAGGAUUAGAUACCCUGGUAGUCCACACCGUAAACGAUGAACACUAGGUGUUAGGAGGUUUCCGCCUCUUAGUGCCGAAGCUAACGCAUUAAGUGUUCCGCCUGGGGAGUACGACCGCAAGGUUGAAACUCAAAGGAAUUGACGGGGACCCGCACAAGCGGUGGAGCAUGUGGUUUAAUUCGAAGCAACGCGAAGAACCUUACCAGGUCUUGACAUCCUUUGAAGCUUUUAGAGAUAGAAGUGUUCUCUUCGGAGACAAAGUGACAGGUGGUGCAUGGUCGUCGUCAGCUCGUGUCGUGAGAUGUUGGGUUAAGUCCCGCAACGAGCGCAACCCUUAUUGUUAGUUGCCAGCAUUCAGAUGGGCACUCUAGCGAGACUGCCGGUGACAAACCGGAGGAAGGCGGGGACGACGUCAGAUCAUCAUGCCCCUUAUGACCUGGGCUACACACGUGCUACAAUGGCGUAUACAACGAGUUGCCAACCCGCGAGGGUGAGCUAAUCUCUUAAAGUACGUCUCAGUUCGGAUUGUAGUCUGCAACUCGACUACAUGAAGUCGGAAUCGCUAGUAAUCGCGGAUCAGCACGCCGCGGUGAAUACGUUCCCGGGUCUUGUACACACCGCCCGUCACACCAUGGGAGUUUGUAAUGCCCAAAGCCGGUGGCCUAACCUUUUAGGAAGGAGCCGUCUAAGGCAGGACAGAGACUGGGGGAAGUCGUAACAAGGAGCCAAACUAAAUUGACGAACUGACCAUA